Salmo salar (Atlantic salmon) is the source of this 196-nucleotide non-coding RNA. The record is from RefSeq and is a predicted model, not a curated record. Lineage: Eukaryota; Metazoa; Chordata; Actinopteri; Salmoniformes; Salmonidae.
CCUCAUCAUAACAAGAUCGCCCAGUGACCAGACAUUGCCAGGAGACCCUACCGUAACAAGAAGGUGAAGAUGAUUGGUGCUAUGCCACCGUGUCCCAUGCUGGUGCUCCUCCAUCCUACUGAGUCAAGUUUGAGCAAGGCCAUGACUAUGCCACAAUGGUCAUAUACUGACCAGCAUGUGCCGACCUGAAAAGACA